This 399-nucleotide ribosomal RNA is filed under the name uncultured bacterium. RNAcentral describes it as "bacterial SSU rRNA". It matches the Rfam family "Bacterial small subunit ribosomal RNA", at positions 30 to 430 of the family's 1533-position model. The record is from RNAcentral.
AUUGAACGCUGGCGGCAUGCCUUACACAUGCAAGUCGAACGGCAGCGCGGGAGCAAUCCUGGUGGCGAGUGGCGAACGGGUGAGUAAUAUAUCGGAACGUGCCCAGUCGUGGGGAUAACGUAGCGAAAGCUACGCUAAUACCGCAUACUAUCUAUGGAUGAAAGCGGGGGAUCGCAAGACCUCGCGCGAUUGGAGCGGCCGAUAUCAGAUUAGGUAGUUGGUGAGGUAAAGGCUCACCAAGCCGACGAUCUGUAGCUGGUCUGAGAGGACGACAGCCACACUGGGACUGAGACACGGCCCAGACCUCCUACGGGAGGCAGCAGUGGGGAAUUUUGGGACAAUGGGCGCAAGCCUGAUCCAGCAAUGCCGCUGCAGGAUGAAGGCCUUCGGGUUGUAAAC